CAGCAGCCGCGUAAUACGUAGGGUGCAAGCGUUAAUCGGAAUUACUGGGCGUAAAGCGUGCGCAGGCGGUUUGUUAAGACAGAUGUGAAAUCCCCGGGCUCAACCUGGGAACUGCAUUUGUGACUGGCAAGCUAGAGUCUGGCAGAGGGGGGUGGAAUUCCGCGUGUAGCAGUGAAAUGCGUAGAUAUGCGGAGGAACACCGAUGGCGAAGGCAGCCCCCUGGGCCAACACUGACGCUCAUGCACGAAAGCGUGGGGAGCAAACAGGAUUAGAUACCCCUGUAGUCCCUGUCUCUUAUACA
Molecule: ribosomal RNA, 301 nt
Filed under: uncultured bacterium
Lineage: Bacteria
Description: partial 16S ribosomal RNA
Rfam family: Bacterial small subunit ribosomal RNA
Source: RNAcentral